This 1633-nucleotide long non-coding RNA is filed under the name Homo sapiens (human). RNAcentral's name for it is "POU6F2 antisense RNA 2". Lineage: Eukaryota; Metazoa; Chordata; Mammalia; Primates; Hominidae. The record is from RNAcentral.
GGAGGAGCCAAGAUGGCCGCAUAGGAACAGCUCCAGUCCACAGCUCCCAGCGUGAGCGACGCAGAAGACGGGUGAUUUCUGCAUUUCCAUCUGAGCAGGCUUUUCUUCUUGGAGCUGAAACAGGCGCACUGGCGAGGGUUGUGAGGAAAGGUUUGCAGCCCCCUGCCUUGGUCUGCUAUAGCCAGUGACACGAUCAAUACCAGGGUGAGCAGCAGAGGAAGCUCAGGGAAGAUUAUGAAGAUGAGGUCUUCUUUGAUAACAUGUCAAGGAGUUACAUUUGACAUAGCCCUGUUAUUUUUACCACAGGAAUUUGCCUGAGUUCUGAUCAAUGCUAAAAACACCAUUUAACAGUGCCCUUUCCUGCCUGGGAAGCCCACAAAGAUUUCGCUUUUCACUUAUUACUCAUCAAACUGACUCUGGUUCACAGUGGAAAAGAGAAGAAAAGCUGAUGGAGAAAUGGCAGUGAAGAAGGAGAACAAAAUGUCAGAGCAAUACUUUUGAGCGACUAUAUCCUUUUCAUUAAAGUCAGUCUAUAGACGUGAAGCCAACAGGGACCCUCAGGCCUGUGCAUCAGGAUGGUGGGCUGCCUAAGUCCUCUGGGGACAGCAGUGCCAGAAGGAGUAUUGGACACAGUGACCCGACUGUAUGAGAUGAGAAAAAACAAAAACAGGAGGUCCGCAGUACUGAUGAACUAAUCUGUCACUCACAAGCUCAGGUCUGCAAAAAAAAGAAACGAAGCACUAAACAUGGCCAUAAGAGAUGGAAAUGCAAGUCUUCAUUUCUAAAUGAUAAUCAAACCAACGAUCAGAAACUGAUUAACUGUGUAAUUGAAUUGAAUUGAAAAUCAUCCCAUGAAUAACAAUCCAUCCUACCUUCAAGGGGUUAGGAAGCUAACUACAGGUAAUUGCUAUCAGAAAUCUGAUUUGAUUUCCAAAAAUUGUGUGAAUGAACCAAGUUUCUUCAUCUUGAUAUACUAGGCAGGGAGUUUGUUCUUCCAAGUACUAGACUGCUUAAUUGCUUGCUUGGGGGAGGAGAAAUCCUAGGGGAAAGGCAUAUAUGAGCAAUUUCUACUCUGUGAAGCCAGCGCUGUGUCCUGAGCUGGAUCAUGGCCAGAAACAGAAAAGUCUACUCUUCCCUACAGUGGAAGCAACUGUGGAUAUUUCAUCCUAGGAGUGAAUGAAAAAACCUAAAGCUCAUACUUCAUGGGAAUCUUUCAAUAUUCUGACUGAAAACUGGUUAUUUGCUCCUCCAACCCAAAGCCAUCUAGGAACAGCACUCAGAACAGGAAAAAAAAAAGACAAAAAUAAUAAUUAUUCCAAAACGUAUUUGAGCAGAAACAAACACAAACAUUUGCAUUAUUAAAUGGGCUUGUUCACACCUGCUGAGUAGAUAUAAGACGAUAUUUAAGACAAGAGCUAAAAAAUAAACCAUCCCUUUCUGGUUUUGAGUGACAGCAGAGCAAUAAAAAUUAUUUUCACAUUCUUUUCCCUAUUGUUAGAAGUAAUCAUUUGAGUAAAUACACUUAUCUGUGCUGUAACUAUUGAAAUGAAUCCACUUCAAAUAUGUAUACCACCUUUCUUUUUUAUAUUUCUAGAUAUGGUUUCAAUAUAGACUUUCUGACUUUUAUGGUAUA